This 366-nucleotide transfer-messenger RNA is filed under the name uncultured Ruminococcus sp. It matches the Rfam family "transfer-messenger RNA". Rfam says of the family: Bacterial tmRNA, also known as 10Sa RNA or SsrA, is named for its dual tRNA and mRNA-like properties. Its role is to liberate the mRNA from a stalled ribosome. The record is from RNAcentral. Lineage: Bacteria; Bacillati; Bacillota; Clostridia; Eubacteriales; Oscillospiraceae.
GGGGGCGUAAAGGUUUCGACGGGGAUUUUGAAAUAUGAUAAGCGAGCGGAGCAUGGUGUAAUCUCCUUAAACUGCGCCACGUUUAAAUAUAAACGCAAGAAAUAAUAUUACAGUUACUAGAAAUAGUGCACUGGUAGCAGCUUAAGUCUGCUUCCGUCCACCGGCAGAGUACCGCGGCUGCCGCUUGGGCGUCAAUGAGCGGUGAACGAUCUCUGGGCGUGUCCGUGCCCUUUGAUUGUAUACGGACUACUUUCACUUUCAGCCCUUUUAUCGGCGGUCUGUAAAAGGAAUUUUAAUAGGUAAAAUACGCUCGUAGAAAGUUGUAUCAAUAAAUUUUCGGACACGAGUUCAAUUCUCGUCGCCUCC